Molecule: long non-coding RNA, 457 nt
Organism: Hyaena hyaena (striped hyena)
Lineage: Eukaryota; Metazoa; Chordata; Mammalia; Carnivora; Hyaenidae
Exons: 3
Source: RefSeq, a predicted model, not a curated record
GCCUCCACCCCUACCGUCGCCUCCAGGGGGCGCCCCGCGCGAGAGACGGAGGACCGGCCCCUGCGAGGCAGCCUCCCUUUGUGGUCCUGGCGCUUGGCCUGGAAUCUAUGCUGGAAAAGGCUCCAGCUAUGCUCACCCACAGAAGAAUAGGCAUGUGUGAAGAUGUAUCUUCCAUGGUGAGAAAACAUUUGCCCUGAAAAGGACCCUAGAGAUCAGCUAGUUCCACUUGGUCCUAUUGCAGAAGAGGUUGGUUUGAAGAGGAGAAACAACUUGUUUGUCAAAAAGAGACGUCACAGAACUGGGACUAGAAGUUGGGAAUCUAGUUUCCCAACUAGUGCCCUUUCCACCACUCUGCCUAUCUCUCCUUCAUGUAUUUAGUUCCUUAGUUGUUUAUGAAAUCUGCUAUCCUGUGCAUUCCAUUUUCUCCAUUUAAUUAUGUUACUGGAAAUAAAUCUAA